ACGCUUCUUGUUUUCUCACCGUCUAAACAAAACAAUCUUGAAACAUAAAAAACAUUUUGCACAAAAAGAAGUCCAACGGAUUAGAAGUUUUGGAACCAUUUUAGAUACAAUCAUUCAUAAUGUCUAGAACACUUAAUCGGAACAAACCUUUCUCGAGAUUCAGUUGUAAACUGGUUAAACUAUGAUGGCCUGAAAUAGAUGAGAAAUCUCCAUCUUAGCAAUGCAUAACAAGUAUUUAGCCACCGAACAAUAUUGAUUAAGUGCAUAAAAAAUCCACUUACAGAAAUUUAAGAGAGGAAUUUCUCAAUCAGACACCAUUCUGUUCAAGUACACAAAUUAUAAGCCAUUGAAAUACAAAGUGGGUAAAAACAACUAUUACAUCUCCCUUGUUUUUGUAAGUGACCAUUUCAAUGGUCAACAUCAGAUAACAAUACUGGCAGGUCCCUCAUUGGAUCCGACGGCAGAGAGUGAUGCCAUCACCAACAGGAAGCAUGCAAAUUUCAAUCCUGGGGUCAGCAGCAAGUGCCUUGUUGAGCUCCAAAACAAAGUCCCUGUAGUACCUCACAUACUUCCUCAUUGGUGCAUCAGGUGGAGCCACCACAGAUCCAUUCCACAGAGUGUUGUCGUACCCAAUCAGCCCACCAACUUUUACAAGCUCAAUCAACCUCUUGUGAUAAUUUAUAUAAUUGUCCUUGUCAGCAUCCACAAAGAUGAAAUCAAAACUUCCAUGGCACUUCCCCUGCGUUUUCCCAGACAGAAUAGUAAGAUUAGUAAUAGUCAUAUAAUUUAUAUAUCAAGUUAAAAAACGAGCAUCGUUUCUUUUUCUCAUACAAGUAGACAAAAAAGGAUGUUUUUCCCUCUUCCAUUUUCAUUUUUUGUCGAACAUAGAGUAUUUCUUACAUCUUCAAUCAUUUGAUCAAGAACUGGUAGAGCAGGGCCUUCCUUGAAAUCAAUCUUGUGCGCAACACCAGCUUUCUGAAUUACUGGGAGACCCAAUUCGUAGUUUUCUCUGUUGAUGUCCAUAGCCAAGAUCUGCAAGAAACAAAAUCCCAUUUAUUUUUUAUCAUCACAUGAAUUUAUUUAUUUAUUUAUACUUAAUAAAUUUUGAUUUGGGACCGAGACAUUUUAAGUUUUUAGUUUACCUUGCCAUCCUCAGGGAUAGCCAGGGCAGUGGCCAAGAGAGAAUAGCCAGUGUAAACACCGAUCUCCAUGGUGUUUUUGGCAUUGACAAGCUUCAAAAGCAUAUUCAAGAAUUGCCCUUCAUCAGCAGAUGUGGUCAUGAUGUUCCUGUUUCCCAUCAUUCACGUCAAAUUUAUUAACAUCACACCAUAAGCAUUAAUAUCAGACAAAAUCUCUUAUGUUUAUGUAUUUAAAUGUAUGUGAAAAUCAAGAAACAUACCAAGGAUGCUUGGCAGUCACCUCCCUGAGCUCCUUCAUGCAUUCAGGCUCUCUUGGAUACACACUAGUCUCGAGAAUAUACUAAAAAAUAAUCCAAAUAUAAAAAGAAAAUGUUAAAAAGCAAACAACAACAAGAAAAAGGGGGAAAACUUGCACAAGAACAAGGAUUUACCGUUUAAAUUACCUGGUAAAGAGCAUCACUUUGCAAAAGGCUCUUGUGGCCAACUUCCUGGUGCCUUCCUGCCUGGCUUUGCUGUUCCUCUCCGUUGGUGGCCAUUAUUGUGUAUAUCUUCUAAUUAAACUACGAUCUCUUUCUUGGCCUUGGAAUUUUUAUUUUUGUUGUUGAUGAUGGUAGUGAUGCCUAACCUGAUCGAAAAUGGUAAAGGGCGGGUGGUAU
Molecule: long non-coding RNA, 1795 nt
Filed under: Populus trichocarpa (black cottonwood)
Lineage: Eukaryota; Viridiplantae; Streptophyta; Magnoliopsida; Malpighiales; Salicaceae
Description: long non-coding RNA (PTRI_LNC002337)
Source: RNAcentral